UACAGAGGUGGCAAGCGUUGUUCGGAAUUACUGGGCGUAAAGGGCGCGUAGGCGGUCUUGUAAGUCUCGUGUGAAAUCCCUCGGCUUAACUGAGGAACUGCACGGGAUACUGCAUGACUUGAGAUCGGGAGAGGUAAGCGGAAUUCCUGGUGUAGCGGUGAAAUGCGUAGAUAUCAGGAGGAACACCUGUGGUGUAGACAGCUUACUGGACCACUUCUGACGCUGAGACACGAAAGCGUGGGUAGCAAACAGG
This 253-nucleotide ribosomal RNA is filed under the name uncultured bacterium. RNAcentral describes it as "partial 16S ribosomal RNA". It matches the Rfam family "Bacterial small subunit ribosomal RNA", at positions 524 to 776 of the family's 1533-position model. The record is from RNAcentral.